AUAAUUUUUUCAAACAAAAAAAAAAUCUGUUCAAUUAUCAGUUAAUAUCUGAUUCGUCCCCCUCGGGACACUAUAUUAAAUGGAUUUUUCGAACAGGGAGUCGGAAAUGGGGCUUGCUCCGUCCGCUCACGCAUCGACCCGGUAUUGCAGUCCUCCGGGACGUGCCAAACAC
Molecule: small nuclear RNA, 172 nt
Filed under: Oncorhynchus tshawytscha (Chinook salmon)
Lineage: Eukaryota; Metazoa; Chordata; Actinopteri; Salmoniformes; Salmonidae
Description: U2 spliceosomal RNA
Rfam family: U2 spliceosomal RNA
About the family: U2 is a small nuclear RNA (snRNA) component of the spliceosome (involved in pre-mRNA splicing). Complementary binding between U2 snRNA (in an area lying towards the 5' end but 3' to hairpin I) and the branchpoint sequence (BPS) of the intron results the bulging out of an unpaired adenosine, on the BPS, which initiates a nucleophilic attack at the intronic 5' splice site, thus starting the first of two transesterification reactions that mediate splicing.
Source: Rfam by way of RNAcentral